GACACGCUGGCGGCGUGCUUAACACAUGCAAGUCGAACGGAAAGGCCCUUUCGGGGGUGCUCGAGUGGCGAACGGGUGAGUAACACGUGGGUGAUCUGCCCCUGACUUUGGGAUAAGCCUGAGAAAUUGGGUCUAAUACCGGAUAUGACCUGCCCUUGCAUGGGGGUGGGUGGAAAGCUUUUGCGGUCAGGGAUGGGCCCGCGGCCUAUCAGCUUGUUGGUGGGGUAAUGGCCUACCAAGGCGACGACGGGUAGCCGACCUGAGAGGGUGAUCGGCCACACUGGGACUGAGACACGGCCCAGACUCCUACGGGAGGCAGCAGUGGGGAAUAUUGCACAAUGGGCGCAAGCCUGAUGCAGCGACGCCGCGUGAGGGAUGACGGCCUUCGGGUUGUAAACCUCUUUCACCAGGGACGAAGCGCAAGUGACGGUACCUGGAGAAGAAGCACCGGCCAACUACGUG
This 462-nucleotide ribosomal RNA is filed under the name uncultured bacterium. RNAcentral describes it as "bacterial SSU rRNA". It matches the Rfam family "Bacterial small subunit ribosomal RNA", at positions 33 to 507 of the family's 1533-position model. The record is from RNAcentral.